Dermacentor albipictus is the source of this 1140-nucleotide long non-coding RNA. RefSeq lists it as uncharacterized. The record is from RefSeq and is a predicted model, not a curated record. Lineage: Eukaryota; Metazoa; Arthropoda; Arachnida; Ixodida; Ixodidae.
ACACACAGAUAUGUUUGGGAUGCAUUCUGAGCGGCUGCAUAGUGAUUAGAAGGCGAUGGAACUGCAGAUAGCAUAAGUGGGCGCAUUCAGACAACAGCGCUACGGCGCGCACAGUGGAAGGCUAUGCUGCCACCGCAGUCCCAGCAGCCGCUACAGGAUCUCUGAAAUCGCGAACGAGCCAGCUGGAGACAAUCCCCAGCGUAUCGGAUCGUCGUCGUCGUUGUCGAGCAGGCACCGAAAAAAACCAGCUUGGGUGAAUUGGUAUGUGGCACUGGCUACGUGCUGUUCCUCAAUGCACCUUUGACGCACAUCUUUCGGCGUUGGCAAUGCGGCGGCGCAGCAUGUCCAAGGGGAAGCGCGAGAGAGGAGUUCGGCUGCAUACACACCUCAUGCAUGACAACAAUGCUAAUCGCAUUGACGUCGGCAUUCAUCGCGAGGAGCGGACACGACAUGGUGUCCGAAGUGGAAUCGACCUCCCCUUCUAUAGUUGCCAUUGCGGCGUUCACCCUGCAUCGGUCGGCGCGAUGACGGUCCCGCCAGCGGUAGCCCCCCCUCCCCCCCCCCCCACCGACGUCGUUCAACUUCAACCGGACUUCCGAAUGGCCAGGAUGGAUUAUGUCAUUCGAUGACUACCGCUACGCAUCGGGGCACAACAACAGAACGGAGGAAGCCCAGGCGCAAGAAGUAUCUCUUUGGAUGCUUUGGGAUGGAGUGGCCCUUACACCACCGGUCACCUGUGUUUGGGGAUCGACAAAAGACGACCAAGGAAGGUGCCCCGAGUCCUUGGCUGCUAUGUCAACGUCAGAUGCUAGACGCCUGCUUUGGAUGUGUUCUGGAACUCGGGUGACCGGAAUUAAGAAUUUAAGAAAGGUUAAACUGAAGCCAAACCUAUCCGAAAACUAUUAACACUGGAUAAUGGAUAAUAAACCUGGAAAGGCACUGCUGCAGUUAUUGCACAAUGCAGGGCUGGAAGCUUUUAUCUAACUUCCUCUCAUUCUUUACGCCCAACGGCAAUACUUCCGAAAAAAAAAAAUCAUCAUGCCGUCUUCUCAGUGAAUAAUCUCAUGCUUCCUAAAUCAUCAAGUACAUACAUUGUGGCAUGCAUCACUGAAUAAAAUACUCUAAUGGAGCUUGAGCUCC